UACAGAGGGUGCAAACGUUGUUCGGAAUUACUGGGCGUAAAGCGCGUGUAGGCGGUUCGAUAAGUCGGAUGUGAAAGCCCCGGGCUCAACCCGGGAAGUGCACUCGAUACUGUCGAGCUAGAGUAUCGGAGAGGUUGGUGGAAUUCUCGGUGUAGAGGUGAAAUUCGUAGAUAUCGAGAGGAACACCGGUGGCGAAGGCGGCCAACUGGACGAAUACUGACGCUGAGACUCGAAAGCGUGGGGAGCAAACAGG
This 253-nucleotide ribosomal RNA is filed under the name uncultured bacterium. RNAcentral describes it as "partial 16S ribosomal RNA". It matches the Rfam family "Bacterial small subunit ribosomal RNA", at positions 524 to 776 of the family's 1533-position model. The record is from RNAcentral.